UCCCAAAAUGUGCAAUGAAUUCCUUCAGGGAAAAACAUGGUUUAUAAUAAAUACAAAUUUCAUGAACUUUCAGUCCCUCAUGCAAGAUUUAGAUUGAAAAGCAAAAUAAGACAACGGGAUGUACAAAAUCGAAGAACAAAUAUGUCCGCAAUCAUCAUGGGCGUGUAUAUCCGUUCAGGCAAUCUACAAGCUGAGCAAAAAAACCCAUUAUUCUAAAGCUUGGGCUCGCCAGUCAUUUGGAGUCAUAAUAGUGGUUAGACCAGCUAACUUAACAGACAAGGUUAUUCAUGCAGGUGCAGGACAUGCAUCCAAUGUGCAUUUCUCUAGACAAUCACUAGUCAUUCAGCCAAACUGGCUUGUGGCCAGCAGCAAUUAAGUGGAAAAGCAAUCUAAAGUGGAUCCUAAAGCCAUCCCAUGUGACACAAAGCAUUGUGUUGUGCCACUAAAAUGUAAGUUAAUCCCAUCACAAAAAAAAUACUCAAAAACUCUUAUCAUACU
This 498-nucleotide long non-coding RNA is filed under the name Musa acuminata (dwarf banana). RNAcentral describes it as "long non-coding RNA (MACU_LNC002161)". Lineage: Eukaryota; Viridiplantae; Streptophyta; Magnoliopsida; Zingiberales; Musaceae. The record is from RNAcentral.